This 274-nucleotide ribosomal RNA is filed under the name uncultured bacterium. RNAcentral describes it as "partial 16S ribosomal RNA". It matches the Rfam family "Archaeal small subunit ribosomal RNA", at positions 473 to 747 of the family's 1478-position model. The record is from RNAcentral.
AAACCAGCACCUCAAGUGGUCAGGAGGUUUAUUGGGCCUAAAGCAUCCGUAGCCUGCUCUGUAAGUUUUCGGUUAAAUCUGUACGCUCAACGUACAGGCUGCCGGGAAUACUGCAGAGCUAGGGAGUGGGAGAGGUAGACGGUACUCGGGAGGAAGUGGUAAAAUGCUUUGAUCUCUCGAUGACCACCUGUGGCGAAGGCGGUCUACCAGAACACGUCCGACGGUGAGGGAUGAAAGCUGGGGGAGCAAACCGGAUUAGAUACCCGAGUAGUCC